Molecule: ribosomal RNA, 253 nt
Filed under: uncultured bacterium
Lineage: Bacteria
Description: partial 16S ribosomal RNA
Rfam family: Bacterial small subunit ribosomal RNA
Source: RNAcentral
GACGAACCGUACGAACGUUAUUCGGAAUCACUGGGCUUAAAGGGUGCGUAGGCGGCGCAGUAAGUUGGGUGUGAAAUCCCUCGGCUUAACCGAGGAAUUGCGCCCAAAACUACUGUGCUCGAGGGAGGUAGAGGUGAGCGGAACUUAGGGUGGAGCGGUGAAAUGCGCAGAUAUCAGGAGGAACACCGGUGGCGAAGGCGGGUCUCUGGGUAGUAACUGACGCUGAGGAACGAAAGCGUGGGUAGCGAACAGG